Molecule: long non-coding RNA, 599 nt
Organism: Rattus norvegicus (Norway rat)
Lineage: Eukaryota; Metazoa; Chordata; Mammalia; Rodentia; Muridae
Source: RefSeq, a predicted model, not a curated record
CUUGUAUUCACAUAUAAAUUGAUUGUUUUGUUUGUUUGGUUUGGUUUUGGUUUUUCAAGAUGGGAUUGGGGCUUCUCAGUGUAGCUUUGCCUGUCCUGGAACUCACUUUCUAGCACAGGCUGGCCUCAAAACUCACAGAGAUCCAACUGCCUCUGCCUCUGGAGUGCUGGAACCACCACCAGGUGUCUCAGAAGCUUGUUCUUCCAGCAGACAGAUACCAGGCGCACCUUUCCCUGAGUUCUAACAGCUGAAGAAAUCGCCACUUCCUGCUGAUUACUCUCUAGAGAAGACAGACAGCAAAGAAACGCAAAACCCACCCCAGGUUGAAACCUACUAGUCUGGUAUUUUUGCAACAACAGCCUGUGAUACCUGCCCUGUCCUUAUUUCUACUCUAAUUGCACUCUGGGACCUUCAUCGCUUUGUUCAUCUAAAUUAUAGCAACAGCAGCCUAAUUGGCCUUCCUGCGUUCAGUCCUCCCUCCAUGCCGCAGCUGCAAGUGUGAUCUUAUAUCAGCAGCCUAAUUAUGGCACUCUUCAUAGGCUUGCAAUUGCUCUCUGUUGACUACAGAAUAAAAUUCGAAUUGCAUAUUUCCUACAGAA